CCAAUAGCGUAUAUUAAAGUUGUUGCAGUUAAAAAGCUCGUAGUUGAAUUUCGGGAUCAGUUGGUCGGUCGUGCCUCGGUACGUACUGGUCAAAUUGAUUCCUACCUUCUGACGAACCACGAUGUCAUUAAUUUGGUGUCGUGGGGAAUUAGGACUGUUACUUUGAAAAAAUUAGAGUGUUUAAAGCAGGCUCGCGCUUGAAUACGUUAGCAUGGAAUAA
Molecule: ribosomal RNA, 220 nt
Filed under: uncultured Glomus
Lineage: Eukaryota; Fungi; Glomeromycota; Glomeromycetes; Glomerales; Glomeraceae
Description: partial small subunit ribosomal RNA
Rfam family: Eukaryotic small subunit ribosomal RNA
Source: RNAcentral